CCUACGGGAGGCAGCAGUGAGGAAUAUUGGUCAAUGGGCGGGAGUCUGAACCAGCCAAGUAGCGUGAAGGAUGACUGCCCUAUGGGUUGUAAACUUCUUUUAUAUGGGAAUAAAACGUUCCACGUGUGGGAUUUUGUAUGUACCAUAUGAAUAAGGAUCGGCUAACUCCGUGCCAGCAGCCGCGGUAAUACGGAGGAUCCGAGCGUUAUCCGGAUUUAUUGGGUUUAAAGGGAGCGUAGGUGGAUUGUUAAGUCAGUUGUGAAAGUUUGCGGCUCAACCGUAAAAUUGCAGUUGAAACUGGCAGUCUUGAGUACAGUAGAGGUGGGCGGAAUUCGUGGUGUAGCGGUGAAAUGCUUAGAUAUCACGAAGAACUCCGAUUGCGAAGGCAGUUCACUGGACUGCAACUGACACUGAGGCUCGAAAGUGUGGGUAUCAAACAGGAUUAGAUACCCUUGUAGUC
Molecule: ribosomal RNA, 460 nt
Filed under: uncultured bacterium
Lineage: Bacteria
Description: partial 16S ribosomal RNA
Rfam family: Bacterial small subunit ribosomal RNA
Source: RNAcentral